AUUGAACGCUGGCGGCAGGCCUAACACAUGCAAGUCGAGCGAGCGGCGGACGGGUGAGUAAUGUCUGGGAAACUGCCUGCUGGAGGGGGAUAACUACUGGAAACGGUAGCUAAUACCGCAUACCAUCAGAUGUGCCCAGAUGGGAUUAGCUAGUAGGUGGGGUAACGGCUCACCUAGGCGACGAUCCCUAGCUGGUCUGAGAGGAUGACCAGCAACACUGGAACUGAGACACGGUGCAGACGCCUACGGGAGGCAGCAGUGGGGAAUAGUGGACAAGGGGGGCAAGCCUGAGGCAGACAUGCCGCGUGUGGGAAGAAGGCCUGCGGGUUGUAAAGCAGUUUCAGCGGGGAGGCGUUACCCGCAGAAGAAGCACCGGCUAACUCCGUGCCAGCAGCCGCGGUAAUUC
Molecule: ribosomal RNA, 406 nt
Filed under: uncultured bacterium
Lineage: Bacteria
Description: partial 16S ribosomal RNA
Rfam family: Bacterial small subunit ribosomal RNA
Source: RNAcentral